This 427-nucleotide ribosomal RNA is filed under the name uncultured bacterium. Its description in RNAcentral is "bacterial SSU rRNA". It matches the Rfam family "Bacterial small subunit ribosomal RNA", at positions 355 to 774 of the family's 1533-position model. The record is from RNAcentral.
UAGGGAAUAUUGGACAAUGGGGGCAACCCUGAUCCAGCCAUGCCGCGUGAGUGAAGAAGGCCCUCGGGUUGUAAAGCUCUUUUGUCCGGAAAGAAAAGCAUUCGGUGAAUACCCGGAUGUUCUGACGGUACCGGAAGAAUAAGCACCGGCUAACUUCGUGCCAGCAGCCGCGGUAAUACGAAGGGUGCAAGCGUUACUCGGAAUUACUGGGCGUAAAGCGUGCGUAGGUGGUUGUUUAAGUCUGAUGUGAAAGCCCUGGGCUCAACCUGGGAAUGGCAUUGGAAACUGGGCAGCUAGAGUGCGGUAGAGGGUAGUGGAAUUCCCGGUGUAGCAGUGAAAUGCGUAGAGAUCGGGAGGAACAUCUGGGGCGAAGGCGACUGCCUGGACCAGCACUGACACUGAGGCACGAAAGCGUGGGGAGCAAACA